Molecule: transfer RNA, 85 nt
Filed under: Sutterella massiliensis
Lineage: Bacteria; Pseudomonadati; Pseudomonadota; Betaproteobacteria; Burkholderiales; Sutterellaceae
Description: tRNA-Leu
Rfam family: tRNA
About the family: Transfer RNA (tRNA) molecules are approximately 80 nucleotides in length. Their secondary structure includes four short double-helical elements and three loops (D, anti-codon, and T loops).
Source: RNAcentral
GCGGUCGUGGCGGAACUGGUAGACGCACUACUUUGAGGGGGUAGCGGGGAGACCCGUAUGAGUUCGACUCUCAUCGACCGCACCA